This is a long non-coding RNA of Bos indicus x Bos taurus (hybrid cattle), 1426 nucleotides long. The record is from Ensembl. NCBI's taxonomy places the organism in Eukaryota, Metazoa, Chordata, Mammalia, Artiodactyla, Bovidae.
GCCCUCAAAUGAAAGAAUGAGAGAAACACAUUGAAUACUUCUAUAAAUAGUAGAGGACACAUGAAGGUUUUGAUCUCCAGGCCACAAGUGACAUCCUAAAAUAUGAGCUCUAAGGGUUGAACUACUAGAUGAUUAGAUUCUCUCAAACAAAUGUUUUGAGAAUUACCACAGUAAUGAUGGAAACAGACAAAAGGGAAUUUUAAAAAAAUUAUUAUUUUUCUUAGCUUUGCUGUUUGCAGCCUGCAGAACUAGUCUGCAAGAAAUAAAAGAAAGCAAAAUAUUUAUUUAAAAAAAAACGAAAACAAAAACCUUGUACUCCGAAAAGUACUUUUCCGAACUGGUACUUACAUAGUUCAGAAGAUGAAGAAGAGAGGCAGAGAGAGGGAGAGAGGGAAGCUACAUUCUUAUAACUAUGUCUAUUGCAUGAUUUGCUUUAAAUUUAAAUAGUGUUUCAUUUUCUUCCUUCCUCAACAGGAAGGAAACUUCUUAAAACUGAAUAGUCAGCCAACUGCAUACAGUGUCACUGCAUACAAGUUUCGUAUUUUUAUAUAGUCUUUCAUCAAGUGUUCUGAGUCUGGGUGGCCCAAUAUAAAAUUGACUUGAUAUGUGGCUCAAAAUAGUUUAAUGUUUUGAAUCUGAAUAUGACCUACCAAAAACUGUCCAAAUGGAACGUUUUUAUUUUCCCAUAACACUUUUAUUUUCCAUGACAUUCCAUAUAAAAACACACUAAAUAAAGGAGAGCCUGGGAAAGUGAGCAUUACAUGUGCCACCAGACCGCUGACUUCCAGUCUCUGCCUUUUUCAUUACUCGGAAGCAUCAUACAAUGAACAUUUACACAGCUCUGCUCCCAGAACCUAAACAUGCCAAAUGAUUUUAUUUGUGUCUCAUCCCUGGAGUAAGAAAGACCAUGUAAUCAGAAACCGUUGGCGCCGGAAGAGACCCUCCCAAGGUCCUGAGGACCAGACUCUCAUUCCAAGUUUGCUUCUCUUUGGAAAGGAUAAUUAACUAGCCCAUAACCUUUCUCUGAUGCAUGGCCCCUUCAACGCUGACACUGGAGGCUGGAACUGGGGCAGCCGUGUUGUGACCAUGAGGUAAAGCCAAGGGUAACAGUAAAGAUUCCACUGCUGCUAAGUUAAUGCCAAUAACUAUCCAUCUCCAGUUCUCUUUAUUGCACAGGAAAAAUGACCCCUACUUUUAAAAACUGCUGGAGGUCCAGUUUAUUUUUACUUGCAGCCAGCACACUCCUGACUGCAUUGAAUGAAUAGUGUUUCCAUCUAACCAGUUCUUUCAGACAGAGAAAUAGGAACUGACAUGUUGCUAUAAUUUAUUAUUUAUUCUAUGUCAGAAACUUGACAUAGAGUAUUUUAUUUCUUUGCAUUUUUAUCCUCAAAGCAGCUUUUCUAGGUAGUUAUCUGCUGGGAGCGAG